This 560-nucleotide ribosomal RNA is filed under the name uncultured archaeon. RNAcentral's name for it is "bacterial SSU rRNA". It matches the Rfam family "Archaeal small subunit ribosomal RNA", at positions 333 to 897 of the family's 1478-position model. The record is from RNAcentral.
CACCAGGCGCGAAAACUUUACAAUGCGGGAAACCGUGAUAAGGGGACACCGAGUGCCAGCAUCAUAUGCUGGCUGUCCGGGUGUGUAAAAUACACCCGUUAGCAAGGGCCGGGCAAGACCGGUGCCAGCCGCCGCGGUAACACCGGCGGCCCGAGUGGUGAUCGUGAUUAUUGGGUCUAAAGGGUCCGUAGCCGGUUUGGUCAGUCCUCCGGGAAAUCUGACGGCUCAACCGUUAGGCUUUCGGGGGAUACUGCCAGGCUUGGAACCGGGAGAGGUAAGAGGUACUACAGGGGUAGGAGUGAAAUCUUGUAAUCCCUGUGAGACCACCUGUGGCGAAGGCGUCUUACCAGAACGGGUUCGACGGUGAGGGACGAAAGCUGGGGGCACGAACCGGAUUAGAUACCCGGGUAGUCCCAGCCGUAAACGAUGCUCGCUAGGUGUCAGGCAUGGCGCGACCGUGUCUGGUGCCGCAGGGAAGCCGUGAAGCGAGCCACCUGGGAAGUACGGCCGCAAGGCUGAAACUUAAAGGAAUCGGCGGGGGAGCACAAGGGCGAAUCGCG